This 507-nucleotide ribosomal RNA is filed under the name uncultured bacterium. RNAcentral describes it as "bacterial SSU rRNA". It matches the Rfam family "Bacterial small subunit ribosomal RNA", at positions 877 to 1397 of the family's 1533-position model. The record is from RNAcentral.
GGAGUGCGGUCGCAAGAUUAAAACUCAAAGGAAUAGACGGGGACCCACACAAGCAGUGGAUCACGUGGUUUAAUUCGACAAUAAACGGGGAACCUUACCCAGACUUGACAUCCUAGGAAUUCUUUAGAGAUAGAGAAGUGCUUUUAUUAGAGCCUAGAGACAGGUGCUGCAUGGUUGUCGUCAGCUCGUGCCUUGAGGUGUUCGGUUAAGUCCGUUAACGAGCGCAACCCAUGUCAUUAGUUAUUAUGUCUAAUGAGACUGCCUUGGUUAACAAGGAGGAAGAUGUGGAUGACGUCAAAUCGGCAUGGCUUUUACGUCUGGGGCUACACACAUGAUACAAUGGUCUAUACAAAGAGUAGCAAUAUAGUAAUAUGGAGUAAAUCUUAAAAGUAGAUCUCAGUCCGGAUUGAGGUCUGAAACUCGACCUCAUGAAGUUGGAAUUGCUAGUAAUCGUGAAUCAGAUAUGUCACGGUGAAUAUGUUCCUGGGUCUUGCACACACUGCCCGU